UUCGUAGGCGGUGUGGCAAGUUGGGAGUGAAAUCUCUGGGCUCAACCCAGAGGCUGCUUCCAAAACUGCUGUGCUGGAGUGUGGGAGAGGCGCGUGGAAUUGCAGGUGUAGCGGUGAAAUGCGUAGAUAUCUGCAGGAACACCCGUGGCGAAAGCGGCGCGCUGGACCACAACUGACGCUGAGGAACGAAAGCUAGGGGAGCAAACAGGAUUAGAUACCCUGGUAGUCCUAGCCCUAAACGAUCAGGACUUGGGGUGCCGCCCGUUCGGGCGUCGUCCCGGAGCUAACGCGUUAAGUCCUGCACCUGGGGAGUACGGUCGCAAGACUGAA
This 330-nucleotide ribosomal RNA is filed under the name uncultured bacterium. RNAcentral describes it as "bacterial SSU rRNA". It matches the Rfam family "Bacterial small subunit ribosomal RNA", at positions 568 to 898 of the family's 1533-position model. The record is from RNAcentral.